ACUAAAAUUUAUAUAUAUUACCUUCGCUCUUUUUCGAUCUUCUGCAUAUUUCCAGUAAAAUGUUCACGUAGGUGUAUAUUAUUACGACAAGGGGAAACCAAUACAUCAUGAUCAUUCCAAAGAGAGAAUAAGUUAUUUCGUGAAAUACUAGCAUCUAAGAAAGAAAAAAAUUACAGUAGAUAUACCAUGUGUAUUUUGAAUUAAAUUAGAAAAGAAAUAUUUAAAAAUUAGUUGAUUCAACAAUUGAAAGCUACAAAAAAGAAAUACGACGUAAGCUUCCUAAAAUGGUCAGUACAAUUUUUUUACUAUAUUGAGUGAGAAAAGAAAGAAAAAAUAGAAAAAAUAAGAUUGCUUUAAAAAAUUAA
This is a long non-coding RNA of Bombus pyrosoma, 365 nucleotides long. RefSeq lists it as uncharacterized. Lineage: Eukaryota; Metazoa; Arthropoda; Insecta; Hymenoptera; Apidae. The record is from RefSeq and is a predicted model, not a curated record. The transcript is spliced from 3 exons.